Molecule: ribosomal RNA, 461 nt
Filed under: uncultured bacterium
Lineage: Bacteria
Description: partial 16S ribosomal RNA
Rfam family: Bacterial small subunit ribosomal RNA
Source: RNAcentral
CCUACGGGCGGCAGCAGUGAGGAAUAUUGGUCAAUGGACGAGAGUCUGAACCAGCCAAGUAGCGUGAAGGAUGACUGCCCUAUGGGUUGUAAACUUCUUUUAUAUGGGAAUAAAACGUUCCACGUGUGGGAUUUUGUAUGUACCAUAUGAAUAAGGAUCGGCUAACUCCGUGCCAGCAGCCGCGGUAAUACGGAGGAUCCGAGCGUUAUCCGGAUUUAUUGGGUUUAAAGGGAGCGUAGGUGGAUUGUUAAGUCAGUUGUGAAAGUUUGCGGCUCAACCGUAAAAUUGCAGUUGAAACUGGCAGUCUUGAGUACAGUAGAGGUGGGCGGAAUUCGUGGUGUAGCGGUGAAAUGCUUAGAUAUCACGAAGAACUCCGAUGGCGAAGGCAGUUCACUGGACUGCAACUGACACUGAGGCUCGAAAGUGUGGGUAUCAAACAGGAUUAGAUACCCCGAGUAGUC